GAUGAAGAACGCAGCGAAACGCGAUAUGUAAUGUGAAUUGCAGAAUUCAGUGAAUCAUCGAAUCUUUGAACGCACAUGGCGCCUUCCAGUAUCCUGGGAGGCAUGCCUGUCCGAGCGUCGUUUCAACCCUCGAGCCCCCGUGGCCCGGCGUUGGGGAUCUGCCCAGGCAGUCCCCGAAAACCAGUGGCGGACCCGUUACAGGCCCUUCCCUUGCGUAGUAGCAUUCGCCUCGCAUCGGGAGCCGGCGGGCUUCCAGCCUCUAAACCCCCAUCAAGUCCGCUCCGGCGGCACCAAGGUUGACCUCGGAUCAGGUAGGAAUACCCGCUGAACUUAAGCAUAUCAAUAAGCGGAGGA
This 354-nucleotide unclassified non-coding RNA is filed under the name soil metagenome. RNAcentral describes it as "partial contains 5.8S ribosomal RNA, internal transcribed spacer 2, and large subunit ribosomal RNA". The stretch from base 1 to 120 matches the Rfam family "5.8S ribosomal RNA", at positions 35 to 154 of the family's 154-position model. The record is from RNAcentral.